GCUACGGGAGGCAGCAGUGAGGAAUAUUGGUCAAUGGCCGCAGGGCUGAACCAGCCAAGUCGCGUGAGGGAUGACGGUCCUAUGGACUGUAAACCUCUUUUGUCAGGGAGCAAAGGGCGCCACGUGUGGCGUUUUGCGAGUACCUGAAGAAAAAGCAUCGGCUAACUCCGUGCCAGCAGCCGCGGUAAUAAGGAGGAUUCGAGCGGUAACCGGAUUUAUUGGGUUUAAAGGGUGCGCAGGCGGAAUGUCAAGUCAGCGGUAAAAUUUCGGGGCUCAACCCCGUCGUGACGUUGAAACUGGCUUUCUUGAGUGAGCGAGAAGUAUGCGGAAUGCGUGGUGUAGCGGUGAAAUGCAUAGAUAUCACGCAGAACUCCGAUUGCGAAGGCAGCUUACUGGACUGUAACUGACGUUGAGGCUCGAAAGCGUGGGGAGCAAACAGGAUUAGAUACCCCUGUAGUC
Molecule: ribosomal RNA, 459 nt
Filed under: uncultured bacterium
Lineage: Bacteria
Description: partial 16S ribosomal RNA
Rfam family: Bacterial small subunit ribosomal RNA
Source: RNAcentral